GGUACAAGUGAUGAUUUCAAGCGACCAAAGCCUGAGAGUUUGUGAUUAGAACUUCUUUGGUAACUGAUGUACC
Small nucleolar RNA from Gallus gallus (chicken), 73 nucleotides. Lineage: Eukaryota; Metazoa; Chordata; Aves; Galliformes; Phasianidae. The record is from Ensembl.